RNAcentral lists this ribosomal RNA (319 nucleotides) under uncultured eukaryote. RNAcentral describes it as "partial 18S ribosomal RNA". It matches the Rfam family "Eukaryotic small subunit ribosomal RNA", at positions 1470 to 1796 of the family's 1831-position model. The record is from RNAcentral.
CCCUUGGAUGUCCUGGGCCGCACGCGUGCUACACUGACACCUGCAGCGAAUACUUCCCAGCCCCGAGAGGUGGCUGGUAAUCAGCAAUAGGUGUCGUGAUGGGGAUAGAUCUUUGGAAUUAUGGAUCUUGAACGAGGAAUGCCUAGUAAGCGUAGGUCAUUAGCCUACGCUGAUUAAGUCCCUGCCCUUUGUACACACCGCCCGUCGCUCCUACCGAUUUCGAGUGGUCCGGUGAAUCUUUCGGACUGCGCAGAGCUUCGUGCUUUGUCGCGGAAAGUCAGGUAAACCUUAUCACUUAGAGGAAGGAGAAGUCGUAACA